This 433-nucleotide ribosomal RNA is filed under the name uncultured bacterium. RNAcentral describes it as "partial 16S ribosomal RNA". It matches the Rfam family "Bacterial small subunit ribosomal RNA", at positions 29 to 507 of the family's 1533-position model. The record is from RNAcentral.
AACGAACGCUGGCGGCAUGCCUAACACAUGCACGUCUAACGAGACCUUUGGGUCUCGUGGCGCACGGGUGAGUCACGCGUAGGAACCUGCCCUUAGGUUCGGCAUAACUCCCCGAAAGGGGUGCUAAUACCGGAUAAUGUCUUCGGACCAAUGAUUUAUCGCCCUUGGAUGGGCCCGCGCUGGAUUAGCUACUUGGUAGGGUUAAAGCCUACCCACGCGACGAUCCAUAGCUGGUCAGCGAGGAUGCUCACCCACACUGGGAGUGCGACACGGCCCAGACUCCUGAGGGAGGCAGCAAUGGGGAAUAUUGGACUAGGGGAAACAGCCUGAUCCAGCCAUGCCGCGAGAAGAAUGUAGGCCUUAGGGUUGUAGAGCUCUUUUGCCCGUGAUGAUGAUGACAGUACCGGGAGAAUAAGCUCCGGCUAACUCCGUG